AAAAUCUGGAACCCCUUUUGUUAUCUUCUCUUCCCGUGAGCUCCAUUUCAAAGAAUGAAGUGUUGACACUAAAACUCGGGCUUUGGGCACCUAUGUGAUGAAUAAAAAGACCCCUAAUUGACAAAUUUGGCUAUCGUCUCCUAUAAGGUAUAAUUGUUUCUUAUUCUUCUUCAUUGUUUGGUCUUGGGAAUCUUGGAUUUGGCAUUGUCUUAUUUGGAAUUGAAGUGGUCCAUCCAUAUUUGAUUGGGAUCAUAAUGUUCAAGCUUGGGCUUAUCGACGAACUAUAACAAAUUUGUUGAAACUCUUGGAAAUUGAGUUGGAGCAACUGUGCGGUAAACCAGUCAACCUUUCAUAGACUUUUGUAGAUCCUAUGAUGUUCGCAUAAUUUCUACCUUCGAAGCUUAUUUCACCAUUAAAGCAGCAUGCCUCGAUUUUCUUCAGCAAACUAUAUCUCAAGAUCCUUAAACUCCCUCAUGGGUUGUAAUUUUACAAAAAGUAGAAUCUGUCCCCAAUAAAUCAUCGUUCAACAGUAUGUUAAGACCCAUUGCUUUUUCACCCAACUUCUUGAUGACCGGUAGUAGCAGCCAUUAUAUCCAUUUUACCUGCAACUCUGUUUGCAGAU
Hibiscus syriacus is the source of this 622-nucleotide long non-coding RNA. RefSeq lists it as uncharacterized. NCBI's taxonomy places the organism in Eukaryota, Viridiplantae, Streptophyta, Magnoliopsida, Malvales, Malvaceae. The transcript has 3 exons. The record is from RefSeq and is a predicted model, not a curated record.